GUAGGUGGGGUAACGGCUCACCUAGGCGACGAUCCCUAGCUGGUCUGAGAGGAUGACCAGCCACACUGGAACUGAGACACGGUCCAGACUCCUACGGGAGGCAGCAGUGGGGAAUAUUGCACAAUGGGCGCAAGCCUGAUGCAGCCAUGCCGCGUGUGUGAAGAAGGCCUUCGGGUUGUAAAGCACUUUCAGCGGGGAGGAAGGCGGUGAGGUUAAUAACCUCACCGAUUGACGUUACCCGCAGAAGAAGCACCGGCUAACUCCGUGCCAGCAGCCGCGGUAAUACGGAGGGUGCAAGCGUUAAUCGGAAUUACUGGGCGUAAAGCGCACGCAGGCGGUCUGUCAAGUCGGAUGUGAAAUCCCCGGGCUCAACCUGGGAACUGCAUUCGAAACUGGCAGGCUAGAGUCUUGUAGAGGGGGGUAGAAUUCCAGGUGUAGCGGUGAAAUGCGUAGAGAUCUGGAGGAAUACCGGUGGCGAAGGCGGCCCCCUGGACAAAGACUGACGCUCAGGUGCGAAAGCGUGGGGAGCAAACAGGAUUAGAUACCCUGGUAGUCCACGCUGUAAACGAUGUCGAUUUGGAGGUUGUGCCCUUGAGGCGUGGCUUCCGGAGCUAACGCGUUAAAUCGACCGCCUGGGGAGUACGGCCGCAAGGUUAAAACUCAAAUGAAUUGACGGGGGCCCGCACAAGCGGUGGAGCAUGUGGUUUAAUUCGAUGCAACGCGAAGAACCUUACCUGGUCUUGACAUCCACAGAACUUUCCAGAGAUGGAUUGGUGCCUUCGGGAACUGUGAGACAGGUGCUGCAUGGCUGUCGUCAGCUCGUGUUGUGAAAUGUUGGGUUAAGUCCCGCAACGAGCGCAACCCUUAUCCUUUGUUGCCAGCGGUUAGGCCGGGAACUCAAAGGAGACUGCCAGUGAUAAACUGGAGGAAGGUGGGGAUGACGUCAAGUCAUCAUGGCCCUUACGACCAGGGCUACACACGUGCUACAAUGGCAUAUACAAAGAGAAGCGACCUCGCGAGAGCAAGCGGACCUCAUAAAGUAUGUCGUAGUCCGGAUUGGAGUCUGCAACUCGACUCCAUGAAGUCGGAAUCGCUAGUAAUCGUAGAUCAGAAUGCUACGGUGAAUACGUUCCCGGGCCUUGUACACACCGCCCGUCACACCAUGGGAGUGGGUUGCAAAAGAAGUAGGUAGCUUAACCUUCGGGAGGGCGCUUACCACUUUGUGAUUCAUGACUGGGGUGAAGUCGUAACAAGGUAACCGUAGGGGAACCUGCGGUUGGAUCACCUCCUUACCUUAAAGAA
This 1302-nucleotide ribosomal RNA is filed under the name Klebsiella variicola. RNAcentral's name for it is "bacterial SSU rRNA". It matches the Rfam family "Bacterial small subunit ribosomal RNA", at positions 248 to 1533 of the family's 1533-position model. Lineage: Bacteria; Pseudomonadati; Pseudomonadota; Gammaproteobacteria; Enterobacterales; Enterobacteriaceae. The record is from RNAcentral.